Molecule: antisense RNA, 69 nt
Filed under: Streptomyces mutabilis
Lineage: Bacteria; Bacillati; Actinomycetota; Actinomycetes; Kitasatosporales; Streptomycetaceae
Description: Aspks sRNA
Rfam family: ASpks TB sRNA
Source: RNAcentral
CUUCACGGAGCCGAGCAGCACCGGCCGCUCGCGGUCCUGGCCGUAGGUGGCGAGCAGGCUCUGCGCCUC